UUCUUUAGGCCCGAAUCUAAAGUAUAGCCUGCUCCAUGAUUUAAAUAGCCGCAGACAACUGUGCUAAGGUAGCAUAAUCAUUAGCCCUAUAAUUGAGGGAUAGAAUGAAGGGCUGAACGCAACGACACCAGUCUCUUAAAGAUAUCAUGAAAUACCAAAUGAGGUAAAAAUGCCUCUCAUACUAGGUUAGACGAUAAGACCCUACUAAACUUCUCAUUUUGCUGGGGCGGCAAAAUAAUAAAACCUUACCUUUCUUCCCCACACAACCCCGAAGGAUAGACUAGUUACUAUAGGGAUAACAGCGCAACCUCUUUUCCGAGUCCUUAUCUAAAAAGAGACCUACGACCUCGAUGUUGAAUUAACACUUCUCAAUAGCGCAAUCGCUAUUAAAGUUGGCCUGUUCGGCCAUUAAACUGUU
This 418-nucleotide ribosomal RNA is filed under the name Gertschiola macrostyla. Its description in RNAcentral is "partial 16S ribosomal RNA". It matches the Rfam family "Bacterial large subunit ribosomal RNA", at positions 1831 to 2597 of the family's 2925-position model. Lineage: Eukaryota; Metazoa; Arthropoda; Arachnida; Araneae; Pholcidae. The record is from RNAcentral.